This 300-nucleotide unclassified non-coding RNA is filed under the name uncultured Sordariomycetes. RNAcentral's name for it is "sequence contains 5.8S rRNA gene, ITS2". The stretch from base 1 to 91 matches the Rfam family "5.8S ribosomal RNA", at positions 58 to 154 of the family's 154-position model. Lineage: Eukaryota; Fungi; Ascomycota; Sordariomycetes. The record is from RNAcentral.
CAGAUGUGUAUAAGAGCCAGGUGAAUCAUCGAAUCUUUGAACGCACAUUGCGCCCAUUAGUAUUCUAACGGGCAUGCCUGUUCGAGCGUCAUUUCAACCCUCAAGCCCUGCUUGGUGUUGGGGCACUAUUUUCGUAUAGGCCCUGUAACGUAGUGGCGGAUCUGCUGUCAUCCUGAGCGUAGUAAUACACGUCGCUUUGGGAUUUCAGUGGGCUUCUGCCGUUAAACCCCCACUUUAUAAGGUUGACCUCGGAUCAGGUAGGAAUACCCGCUGAACUUAAGCAUAUCAAUAAGCGGAGGA